UACCAGGCCCUUUUCAGGGCCACCUAUCUGUUCGCUUGAAAGAGCU
Non-coding RNA from Bos taurus (domestic cattle), 46 nucleotides. NCBI's taxonomy places the organism in Eukaryota, Metazoa, Chordata, Mammalia, Artiodactyla, Bovidae. The record is from Rfam.